This 910-nucleotide ribosomal RNA is filed under the name Cortinarius sp. PDD 107414. RNAcentral's name for it is "partial large subunit ribosomal RNA". It matches the Rfam family "Eukaryotic large subunit ribosomal RNA", at positions 39 to 934 of the family's 3401-position model. Lineage: Eukaryota; Fungi; Basidiomycota; Agaricomycetes; Agaricales; Cortinariaceae. The record is from RNAcentral.
CAUAUCAAUAAGCGGAGGAAAAGAAACUAACAAGGGAUUCCCCUAGUAACUGCGAGUGAAGCGGGAAAAGCUCAAAUUUAAAAUCUGGCGGUCUUUGGCUGUCCGAGUUGUAAUCUAGAGAAGUGCUAUCCGCGCUGGACCGUGUACAAGUCUCCUGGAAUGGAGCGUCAUAGAGGGUGAGAAUCCCGUCUUUGACACGGACUGCCAGGGCUUUGUGAUGCGCUCUCGAAGAGUCGAGUUGUUUGGGAAUGCAGCUCAAAAUGGGUGGUAAAUUCCAUCUAAAGCUAAAUAUUGGCGAGAGACCGAUAGCGAACAAGUACCGUGAGGGAAAGAUGAAAAGAACUUUGGAAAGAGAGUUAAACAGUACGUGAAAUUGCUGAAAGGGAAACGCUUGAAGUCAGUCGCGUUGUCCAGGGAUCAACCUUGCUUUUGCUUGGUGCACUUUCUGGUUGACGGGUCAGCAUCAAUUUUGACUAUUGGAAAAAGAUUAGGGGAAUGUGGCAUCUUAGGAUGUGUUAUAGCCCUUGGUUGCAUACAAUGGUUGGGAUUGAGGAACUCAGCACGCCGCAAGGCCGGGUUUUUAACCACGUACGUGCUUAGGAUGCUGGCAUAAUGGCUUUAAUCGACCCGUCUUGAAACACGGACCAAGGAGUCUAACAUGCCUGCGAGUGUUUGGGUGGAAAACCCGAGCGCGUAAUGAAAGUGAAAGUUGAGAUCCCUGUCGUGGGGAGCAUCGACGCCCGGACCAGACCUUUUGUGACGGUUCCGCGGUAGAGCAUGUAUGUUGGGACCCGAAAGAUGGUGAACUAUGCCUGAAUAGGGUGAAGCCAGAGGAAACUCUGGUGGAGGCUCGUAGCGAUUCUGACGUGCAAAUCGAUCGUCAAAUUUGGGUAUAGGGGCGAAAGACUAA